RNAcentral lists this ribosomal RNA (416 nucleotides) under uncultured bacterium. Its description in RNAcentral is "bacterial SSU rRNA". It matches the Rfam family "Bacterial small subunit ribosomal RNA", at positions 29 to 490 of the family's 1533-position model. The record is from RNAcentral.
AACGAACGCUGGCGGCAUGCCUAACACAUGCAAGUCGAACGAGACCUUCGGGUCUAGUGGCGCACGGGUGCGUAACGCGUGGGAAUCUGCCCUUGGGUCCGGAAUAACUCAGAGAAAUUUGAGCUAAUACCGGAUGAUGACGUAAGUCCAAAGAUUUAUCGCCCAGGGAUGAGCCCGCGUAGGAUUAGCUAGUUGGUGAGGUAAAGGCUCACCAAGGCGACGAUCCUUAGCUGGUCUGAGAGGAUGAUCAGCCACACUGGGACUGAGACACGGCCCAGACUCCUACGGGAGGCAGCAGUGGGGAAUAUUGGACAAUGGGCGAAAGCCUGAUCCAGCAAUGCCGCGUGAGUGAUGAAGGCCUUAGGGUUGUAAAGCUCUUUUACCCGGGAUGAUAAUGACAGUACCGGGAGAAUAAG